UGAAAGAAAAAAUUUUCAGUAACUCCUGCUCAAUGAAUUUAAAUGGCCGCAGUUAUCUGUGCUAAGGUAGCAUAAUCACUUGCCUACUAAUUAUAGGAUAGAAUGAAAGGAUGCACAUGUGAGCUUCUUUAUUAACACAAUUCUCUUAACUUAACAAAUAAGUAAAAAUCCUUAUUUCCUUAGGGGGACGACAAGACCCUAUUAAACUUUACAUCUUUGUUCAGCUGGGGCGGCAACAAAACUAUAACUUUUUUUUACCUCCAUAAUCCAACUUUUAUAAAAAAUCACCAAGUUACUAUAGGGAUAACAGCAUAAUUCUCUCCUAAAGACCUUAUAAAAAAGAGAGUUUGUGACCUCGAUGUUGAAUUAAGGUCCUGCUAGAAGCAGUAUUCUAAAAAGGAAGUCUGUUCGACUUUUUAUUCCUU
RNAcentral lists this ribosomal RNA (425 nucleotides) under Teyl sp. MYG480. RNAcentral describes it as "partial 16S ribosomal RNA". It matches the Rfam family "Bacterial large subunit ribosomal RNA", at positions 1834 to 2597 of the family's 2925-position model. Lineage: Eukaryota; Metazoa; Arthropoda; Arachnida; Araneae; Anamidae. The record is from RNAcentral.